This 1347-nucleotide long non-coding RNA is filed under the name Homo sapiens (human). RNAcentral's name for it is "long intergenic non-protein coding RNA 906". The record is from RNAcentral. Lineage: Eukaryota; Metazoa; Chordata; Mammalia; Primates; Hominidae.
GAAAUUCAGAUUGUUGGACACUCUCCAGGACAAAAGGUCUAGAUUCUUCAAAAACAACAACAUCGAAAAAAAAAAACUGCCAGAAAGAAAAAAUACAGAGGGAGAAGGACACAGAACACAUUUAUGAGUCUUUUCACCCUCAUUUCGUUGAAGAUUUUAUUGGCCGAAGAACCCUCAGUAGGCACGAAAUUCAUUCUCACAAGCAGAGAGAUGCAUUAUGCUCCAUUUAUUGCUCAUCCUAAAUUAUAAACAUUUCCAGUGAAUGUAAAGGAAGAUAUGAUUGAAAAGGACUCUGUGAAGACAGGAUGUUUCUGUACAGUCCUUGUAUCUGCUCACCUAUUCCAAACUUUCCAGAGAUUUUACCAGAGGUUUAAGAUAUUCUCCUGAGGGUUUGCUGUAGAGAGAUUUUUCUUAACUAAGGAGUGCAAGUAGCAAGCAAUAGCCCACCCAGUUGGAGACAAAAAAGAAGGGUGUCAGUGUUCCCACUGUUAAAAAACAAAAAAAAAUCACCCUGGACACCUCUGAGAAUUAUACAAGGGGAUGUACACAGCCCUGCUUUAUUUGAGUUCAAAAGGAAGGUGGGUUUUGAAAGAAGAACAAGGAGAGUAGAUCUCUCUGGAUCUUCUGAUGCUCACAGCAAAGAGCUCAAGGUAUCUGAGUCAACUCUUGAGGCUUCUUCGAACAGAGGGAUGAAGAGAGAAUAUGGCAAGCUUGCCAACAGAUCCCAGAAGUUUUAAGAGAAAAGAACAGAUUGCUCUUUGCAAAACAAACCGAGCUGGGUGCAUGGAGCCCCAGUAGACAGAAAGUGAAGAAAACAUCAACGUUCUGAAGUUUUAGAUAGAUGAAGAAAGAUGAUACGAUGUGAUGGACAACAGAGACUUAUAUGGUGGGGUCUGGGCUGGUCUUUCUGAAGCUAAGACUGGCAGGAUGAGCAGGAGUUUGCCAGACAAAGAGGAGUGGAGUUGUUUUCCAAACACAUCUCAGCACAAAGUGUUGUCUUUGCUGGGAGCUGAAAAAAGAUAGUGUGGGCAGAGACCAUUAGGUGAGACGCUUGAUAUGAGAUACAACCUCAACAGGUGGAAGAAGAUCAUGAGAGAUGAAGAGAGGAAUAUAGUACAGCAGAGAGGACACAGAAGCUGACGUCAGGGUGUCUCAGUUUGAAACCAGUGGCCACCCUGUUCCUCUCCCAUGUGGUCCCAUCAUGGGCCUCUAGGGUCUGGGAUAAGAGGUUAAUGAAUAUCUCAUACCCUAAGCAGGGGUGGUCCCUGCACUUUAGCAAAAAGUUAAGGAACUAGGGAAAAGAGAUGGAAAUAAUAAAGAGAUGGGACAAAGACUUUGAAGACCAAA